Long non-coding RNA from Oryzias melastigma (Indian medaka), 2077 nucleotides. RefSeq lists it as uncharacterized. The transcript has 2 exons. NCBI's taxonomy places the organism in Eukaryota, Metazoa, Chordata, Actinopteri, Beloniformes, Adrianichthyidae. The record is from RefSeq and is a predicted model, not a curated record.
CAGUGAGCUCAUCAUUAUUUAGUAUAGAAGUUUUUGUGGCAGUAGCUUUAAUAUUUCAGGGGCUAUUGAGCACAUUUUUUAUGUUUUAAAUAUCUAUUAAAAUUAAUUGCUGCAUAAUAAUACAACAUAAUAAAGCAUGUUUUUCCCCAAGAUAUUUAAUGUAGCAUAAAUAAAGUUACUAGUCUUUGUUACUAGCUUACAUAAAAAUAGACAUUUAUACGUUAUUUAUUUGUUUUUACAGAGUGGCCUUUGUUAAAGCUUGUAGACGGUCCCUUAGCAGUCGUCUCGCUGCUUCUCUUCCUCUGCAGCUCAUAGAGAACACUUGUCAUUAAAUGGAAAAUAUAAUGAUAUAUAUAAUUUCACCCUCAAAUUGUAAUGAACUAAAUGGUGUAUUUGCACUGAAUCGAUAACAAAAAGAGCCAGACAAACGGAUAGUUUUUAAUCGGGACAUCCGUGUGAAAAAGCGUGGAAAGGUGCUGGGUGUGGGAAGGAAAGAUGUCUCUCUCCUGCUGUUUCCAUUGACUUUGUACUGCCUGUUACACAAAUCCACCAGUCAAGUUAUCUCAACAAAAGCAAUUCAAUAUUUGGGGAAUUUUAACGAAGGGGCGGGGUAGGAGAUUACACAGAGCUAAUUUUAUAAUGAAAAAAAGCACGCAGACAAACAAACAAACACACACACGGUAACAACCAAACAAACAAACAAACAACCUCUAGAGCCCAAAAAUAGGCGCCAUUGUGAUGAUCCGCCACCUUUGUAAGCUUUAAAGUUUCAAAGCAGCGCUGACGGAGCCUAUGCGCGCUCCCGCGACUAGUCACAAAUCGUGGCAGGGGAUAACUACUUUGGCACCACACCGGAAAUGCAGCAACGAGAUCCUGGCUGCACGUAUUACAUGAGGACAAAACACGAAUUUCCAUCACAUUCUGUGCUGGUCACACGUAAAUAUGUGUAACACCAGUCUUAUUAUAAAUGUCCGAACAUAAAAAAAAAAAAAAAAAAAAAUCAAGUAUCAGCCGCAUUUAUAUUAGCUCACCUGCACCGAGCACAGCUGUCCGGACUCCUCGUCUGUCUUCCCUCCAGAUUACUUUCAGCCAGUGGGUGUACAUGGCGUUGCUACUUUUGAAUAUAUCAUUAGUGACUAUUGCCCAAAUAUCUGUAGGAACAUUUAUCUCAAAAAUAUGGCACAUAAAACAACCAAUAAUGGCUUCUCUCCCGCCAGCUUUUGCCCACAUAUCUGUGGUCCUCCGUCUCUGCCCUUUUUUGAAGCGCCCCAUACUUAAUUUGGCAAUUAAGAAAAUCGCUACUAAAGACUGUGAUCCAAAAAAGCUCCAACUGCUGUCUCCUUCCUCGUGUCUCUGUUAUUUGGAUUGGUCUAUUUGAGAGAUCGGCAACCUAGGGGACGCGUGGCACACAGUGGCACGCAGAGGUGUGACAACAAAAACAUAUUUUGUAGCGUGUUUGUGUUUUUCGAUUUCGAAAAGAGUGGUCAUCUCAUCAAAAUUACAAAACUAGCAUUUUAGCCAUAGACAUAAUAUAUAAUUAGACGCAGCAUCUCUGACAUCCCCCAUUGACUUCCACAGUCCCUGAAAUGAACCCUGAAUAUUCAGCUUAUGGCCGCAGCCAUAUUGGCUGGAGUUAACGGGACCGAGUUUACCCGCUUUUCGUCCGUUUUUUUUAGUUCACGCCCACAGCUCUGCCGUCUGCAGCUCCUCAAUGCUAACUGCUAACAGCUUCAAUUCUCCAGAAAAAAAAAAAUGCGGUGGAUUAUGUACAUCAUGAAUCUUUACAGUUUGGAUUAAUGGUGACAUCAUUUCCAUUUGGCACCAGAAGGACCGUUCAACAAAACCACCACGGCGACGUGAGCUCGACGAGGACCCACAUCACCUGGUUCAGCUGAGGCAGACGGUGGUGGACAUCUUUUAUUUUUAAUUCUACAAGGAAGAGCAGCUCCUGGUUCUCUCAUCACUGUGGAGGACGUGAACGGGCGACGUCUGGAGUCUGGAGCUGUCAUGGGGAUCGGAGAGAACGUCCAGCAGCUGCACACUCUUCAACCCAGCACUAAACUUUUUUUCUCUUUCA